Long non-coding RNA from Parus major (Great Tit), 1903 nucleotides. The record is from Ensembl. NCBI's taxonomy places the organism in Eukaryota, Metazoa, Chordata, Aves, Passeriformes, Paridae.
UGAUAGUCACUGGGCACGAGGAUGCAGAAACUGCCUGCAAGAACAAAAACUGAGAGAAAUGUGGAGUCGCUCGCACGUCUGGAAAUAAUUGCCUGCAGAUUAACAGCUUUCCAUGGGAAUAUGCUGUCUGUGGGGUUCGAAAUCUAGCUGACUUUAAACCGAGUUCCCAGAAGAAACCUAUCUGAGGAGCAUCUGCAAUUACACUCAAACUACUGGGUUUCUAUUCGCCGCUUUCUUCUACUUCGUGCCCAACAUUAAUGUUAAGUUUAAAACAACAAAGGAGGAAAUGGAGUGGCCUUGUCAAGCGCCAUUUCCACUCCCCGACAAUUAAAGCAGCCCCAUAUGGCUGAGAGGAGCCAUCCAGCCACACAAUGCCCCAUGCAGGGCAAAGCCACAUGGACUCAGACCAGCUUAAAGCCAAUUGCAAAACAAAGCAGAGCCGGUUUCUUCCUCAGGAAACAAAGUGGCCGAGCAGGUCUCCUGUCACUAUCUUAAAACACCAGUAAACAUCGUUAAAGAAGUUCCCCCACACACUGUCCCAAUUAGCGCUUCAAAGGCAUUCCAUUGUACCAAGCGUAAUGAAAAAGCACUUUCUUCCAGGAUAAGGAAAAUGCAAUCCUUAUCUCAUUUGCUUUUAAAAAACAGAAUUAAACACAGCAGUCUGAUUACCCGAACUGUUUAUAUAUAGAACAGGGAGGUAAAGCAUUUGCUAUGGAGAGAAAUAGGAAAAAAAUAACAACCAACUGAAAAAAAAAACCCCAAAACCCCAACCCUGCAGCCUUUAGAGCAUUCGGAACUUCCCAGGUCAAUAACAACCUACCCACGCCUCACCUACCGAGUCGAUCCAACUUUUUCUGAAAAAAAAACCCCAAAAAACUGGAGCAACGCGAAGCGGAAAAGAGAAUUAAGCCAAGCCUUUCCUCCAUCCAGGCAGUUAUCGUUGGCCAGAAAUAGCUCCCUAAAACCACCCACCCAGCCGGAGCAGCUGAUUAAUUCCAAGGCGCCCUCGCCGCGUCGCAGGGCUGCUGUGAUCGAUACAAAUCGAGGGUGGUGCAGGCACGAGCUGCACUCCUGCAAUAUUCAUGGUCCAACAGCUCCUGAACCAGAGCCUGUCUUCACCAGACCUGGUGCAAAACAAGCUUUGGAACCAAGAAGCCGUGUGAUAGCUCCAAACCUGCCAGAGCUGAAAUUCAAUCCUCGAGUCAGCACAAAGCGACCACAUCGCGUUCAUCCUCAAUUUUCUAAUCAAAUGUGGCCCAACACCUGGCACAUGCUAGAAGGGAACUGACUGCUCCAGAGUGUAUUUAAAUCAGCAUUUACUCCUAAUGACUUCCAAAAGAGCUUUCCAGCAGGAAGUUAAUUCAGGCCAGGUUUCAUCAUUUGAAAAAUAACCCUGUUUGAUGGUUCUUGUUCAAAAACACCUUAUUCCUCUAGGGCAGGUGAUGCAGCCAGCUUGGACCACAAAUCCCUCAGGUCAGUAAACACUGGAAAAAUGCACUCAGGUAAUAAUAAUAAUAACAAUAAUAAUAAUAAUUUUCAAAUGCGUGGAUUUCUUUGUAUCCCAUUAGGAUGGAAGUUGUUCAAACAGUGCAGAGCAGCAUCUGGCAGUCUGAGCACAGCAACAGAACUGGAGACUAUUCUUGAAUCUCAGACACUGUCUUGCAAAUCCAACACAAACCAACUUCCGAAUUCAGCAGUGUGGGAGAUGGCAGAGAAAUCAUCUCGAGUCCCAUCUGUUUGUACACAGCAUUCUGGAGAUCCUUGAAUGAGCAGAACAGCCACAGCACUCAAUCACCGACAUCAGAGACAACUCAACUUUCACUAAUUGGCUUUCCUAGGAGAUAUGGAGAUCUGCCCCCAUUUCAGAGACUAAAAUAAAAAACAUGCACAGAGUACGGCCUCA